UCACUGGCGAGGUUGAGUGUCAUGAGACACGUAGCCGCAGUGAAAGCGAGCCUGAAGAGGGCGCACAGUCAGUGGGGGUAGACGCGAAACCAAGUGAUCUACACUUGGCCAGGAUGAAGUCCCGGUAACACGGGAUGGAGGUCCGCCCCAAUAAGCGUUGAAAAGCUUCUGGAUGAGCCGAGUGUAGGAGUGAAAGGCCAAUCAAACUUGGAGAUAGCUCGUACUCCCCGAAAGGCAUUUAGGUGCCGCGUCGGAUGGUCACCGUGAGAGGUAGAGCGACCGAUAGGACAAGAGGGCUUCACCGCCUAUCGAGUCCUGACGAACUCCGAAUGCUCACGGUCUGCAGUCCGGCAGUAAGGGGGCGGGUGCUAAGGUCCGUCCCCGAGAGGAGAAGAAUCCAGACCGCCGUCUAAGGUCCCGGAGUUCUGCCUGAGUUAGU
RNAcentral lists this ribosomal RNA (439 nucleotides) under Alcanivorax profundi. RNAcentral's name for it is "Alcanivorax sp. MTEO17 partial 23S ribosomal RNA". It matches the Rfam family "Bacterial large subunit ribosomal RNA", at positions 634 to 1068 of the family's 2925-position model. The record is from RNAcentral. Lineage: Bacteria; Pseudomonadati; Pseudomonadota; Gammaproteobacteria; Oceanospirillales; Alcanivoracaceae.